Xyrichtys novacula (pearly razorfish) is the source of this 439-nucleotide non-coding RNA. The record is from the annotation of a GenBank genome assembly. Lineage: Eukaryota; Metazoa; Chordata; Actinopteri; Labriformes; Labridae.
CCUGACUAUACACAUCAAACCCGAUGCGAUUUUGCGACUUUCCGGGGGGAAAAAAGACGCGUCCAGGAUGGAAGCGAGAAGACUGACACAACAGCAGACUGAGUGUUUUUCAGUUCUGAUUAGACUCUAGUGUUGAGAUGUCUGUCUGUCAUGAUAGCAUGUACUGAGUCGGGGUCAGUACCAGAUAAGAACAUUAAACUGUAAUCUAUAAACGUAAGGUAACAACAGAGACCUAAUGGUGCUGUGACAGUGAAAAUACAUAUGGUAUGUUGUAUCUGAACAGGUUAGCUUACGAGCUAAAGUUACUUAGCACAGAUGAAAGUUAAAACAAAGACGUUUAUCAAACUGUUAAAGCACACAAACCAUCGUCAUAUGAGAAAUCCGACGCUAUGACUCUCCACAAGUCGUCCUUCAGGUCGUUAUCUUUGUAAUAUUUGUG